UUUCAACACUAGUAUUUAUUCUUCUCCUACCUACUCUCUCCCAAAAAGGCUGAAAAAGAAAAACCAUGAGUAGCUAUAUAUAUAGCUAGUGAAGUAAAAAUGAAGAUGAGCAGAGCAACCGUGGAAGACUCCAAGAAAAAGAUGUCAUGUAGAAGGCUUGGAGGCUACCUUAGAGAACAGAAAGGAAGGCUCUACAUUAUCAGGAGGUGCAUAGUCAUACUUAUCUGCUGGCAUGACUAGUUAAUCCAAGAUCUUUUGGAGCUAUACAUAUCAAUUCCUAUAUAUAUCAUCAUCUCAUCACCAUCCAUAUCCAUGAAGUUGAAGCAAAGUAUUAAUGCAUAUCAUUUCUGGAAGCUUGCGUGGAACCAUCAGCAAGCGAAGCUCUCCACUUCUUCAAUAUUCUUAAAAUCUAUAUAUGUUUCGUUUACUCGAAAUAUGUAAAUAGAAAAGAGAAAUGCUAGCUAGCUAGCUAAAUAAUUGAUUUUAUAUUAAGCUUGUUUUCUUACAUUGAAGUGCUUCAAAUUAAAUGGUUUAGAAAAGCAAGUUUCUAAAAUUAAUUUCUUUUCUGUAUAUUUCAUCAUGAGUUGUUGAGUGCAUUACUGUUGGAU
RNAcentral lists this unclassified non-coding RNA (608 nucleotides) under Hevea brasiliensis (rubber tree). The record is from RNAcentral. Lineage: Eukaryota; Viridiplantae; Streptophyta; Magnoliopsida; Malpighiales; Euphorbiaceae.